GACGAACGCUGGCGGCGUGCUUAACACAUGCAAGUCGAACGGAAAGGCCCUGCUUGCCGGUUACUCGAGUGGCGAACGGGGGAGUAACACGUGUGCGAUCUGCCCUGCACUUCGGGAUAAGCCUGGGAAACUGGGUCUAAUACCGGAUAUGAGCCAUUGUUAGUGUGAUGGUUGGAAAGUUUUUUUGGUGAAGGAUGAGCUCGCGGCCUAUCAGCGUGUUGGUGGGGUAAUUGCCUACCAAGGCGGCGACGGGUAGCCGGCCUGAGAGGGUGGACGGCCACACUCGGACUGAGAUUCGGCCCAGACUCCUACGGGAGGCAGAAGUGGGGAAUAUUGCGCAAUGGGCGCAAGCCUGAUGCAGCGACGCCGCGUGGGGGAUGACGGCCUUCGGGUUGUAAACUCCUUUCGCUAGGGACGAAGCUUUUUGUGACGGUACCUAGAGAAGAAGCGCCGGCUAACUACGUG
Molecule: ribosomal RNA, 465 nt
Filed under: uncultured bacterium
Lineage: Bacteria
Description: partial 16S ribosomal RNA
Rfam family: Bacterial small subunit ribosomal RNA
Source: RNAcentral